Molecule: ribosomal RNA, 492 nt
Filed under: uncultured bacterium
Lineage: Bacteria
Description: partial 16S ribosomal RNA
Rfam family: Bacterial small subunit ribosomal RNA
Source: RNAcentral
AGUGAACGCUGGCGGUAGGCCUAGCACAUGCAAGUCGAACGGCAGCACAGUAAGAGCUUGCUCUUACGGGUGGCGAGUGGCGGACGGGUGAGGAAUACAUCGGAAUCUACUUUUUCGUGGGGGAUAACGUAGGGAAACUUACGCUAAUACCUCAUACGACCUACGGGUGAAAGCAGGGGAUCUUCGGACCUUGCGCGAUUGAAUGAGCCGAUGUCGGAUUAGCUAGUUGGCGGGGUAAAGGCCCACCAAGGCGACGAUCCGUAGCUGGUCUGAGAGGAUGAUCAGCCACACUGGAACUGAGACACGGUCCAGACUCCUACGGGAGGCAGCAGUGGGGAAUAUUGGACAAAGGGCGCAAGCCUGAUCCUGCCAUACCGCGUGGGUGAAGAAGGCCUUCGGGUUGUAAAGCCCUUUUGUUGGGAAAGAAAAGCAGCAGGUUAAUACCCCGCUGUUCUGACGGUACCCAAAGAAUAAGCACCGGCUAACUUCGUG